This 243-nucleotide unclassified non-coding RNA is filed under the name uncultured fungus. RNAcentral describes it as "sequence contains ITS2". The stretch from base 1 to 52 matches the Rfam family "5.8S ribosomal RNA", at positions 103 to 154 of the family's 154-position model. Lineage: Eukaryota; Fungi. The record is from RNAcentral.
AACGCACAUUGCGCCCCUUGGUAUUCCGAGGGGCAUGCCUGUUCGAGCGUCAUUACAACCCUCAAGCAUUGCUUGGUAUUGGGCCCCGCUGCUCACCCAGCGGGCCUUAAAAUCAGUGGCGGUGCCGUCGAGGCCCUGAGCGUAGUAAAUAUCCUCGCUAUAGGGACUCGGUGGACGCUGGCCAUCAACCCCCAAUUUUCUAAGUUUGACCUCGGAUCAGGUAGGGAUACCCGCUGAACUUAA